CAGAGGUCCCGAGCGUUGUUCGGAUUCACUGGGCGUAAAGGGUGCGUAGGUGGCGAGGUAAGUCGGAUGUGAAAUCUCCAAGCUUAACUUGGAAAUGGCAUUGGAAACUACCUUGCUCGAGGUUUGAGGGGGGACUGGAAUUCUCGGUGUAGCAGUGAAAUGCGUAGAUAUCGAGAGGAACACCUGUGGCGAAGGCGAGUCCCUGGACAACACCUGACACUGAGGCACGAAAGCUAGGGGAGCAAACAGGAUUAGAUACCCUGGUAGUCCUAGCUGUAAACGGUGCUUGCUUGCUGUAAAAGGAAUCGACCCCUUUUGUGGCGAAGCCAACGCGUUAAGCAAGCCGCCUGGGAAGUACGGUCGCAAGAUUA
This 371-nucleotide ribosomal RNA is filed under the name uncultured organism. Its description in RNAcentral is "bacterial SSU rRNA". It matches the Rfam family "Bacterial small subunit ribosomal RNA", at positions 526 to 896 of the family's 1533-position model. The record is from RNAcentral.